This 734-nucleotide long non-coding RNA is filed under the name Olea europaea (common olive). RNAcentral describes it as "long non-coding RNA (OEUR_LNC012150)". The record is from RNAcentral. Lineage: Eukaryota; Viridiplantae; Streptophyta; Magnoliopsida; Lamiales; Oleaceae.
UAAUAAUAAUAAUAAUAAUAAUAAUAAUAAUAAUAAUAAAAUUCCACCUCUCGUGCCUACCUCUGCCAUCCACCACUUUCCUAUUUUUCAAUUCAAAACUUCUCCAAUUUCAAAGAACAAGGCAAUAAUUUUUUUCCCUUUACUCGAUUGAGUUGCCCUUUUGUUUACUAGUGAAUUUCCAACUUCUUUUCUUUGGAUUCUCUAUGUAAUAGCGAUUAUUUUCAAGCUUUUCAGGAGGUGGUGAAUGCGGAUUCCGUUGUUCUUGGGGAGACAGCUGACGAAGGAGGAGGGAGGUGGACUAGGCAUUAUACUUUUGUAGACUGUCAUCGCAAAUUAGAAGCACUAUCUUGCUUUUGAAAGGCUUGGGAAGAGGUGGGGAAAUUUAGAGUUGAAGGUGUUGGAGAAGCUUUCGGUUAAUCUUUGGGCUGCUUCACCAUUUCGUUGGGCUUUAUGAAACUUCAAAUUAUUUGAGGGUCAAAUAUGUGUAAAAUUGUGUUUUUUUGAAGAUUACAUUUUAUGACUCUUAUGGGUUGGGUUGGGUUGGGUUGGGUUGGGCUGGACUGUGCCGUACACGUGGCAUAGUUCCAACCCUUGGAUAAAUCGGUUCAUAUGAAUAGAUAUUUACUUGGCUCUUGGUCUUCAGAAGUGGCUGCAUGGUUUUUCAGUUUUUAGAAUUCUCUUUUUUCUCUCUCUGUGAGGGUUUCUUCUUCGUGUUCCUUUCUUUCUGUACAUCG